UACGUAGGGUGCGAGCGUUGUCCGGAAUUAUUGGGCGUAAAGAGCUCGUAGGCGGCUUGGUAAGUCGGGUGUGAAACCUCCAGGCUCAACCUGGUGACGCCACCCGAUACUGCUAUAGCUUGAGUUCGGUAGGGGAGCGGGGAAUUCCUGGUGUAGCGGUGAAAUGCGCAGAUAUCAGGAGGAACACCGGUGGCGAAGGCGCCGCUCUGGGCCGAAACUGACGCUGAGGAGCGAAAGCGUGGGGAGCAAACAGG
RNAcentral lists this ribosomal RNA (254 nucleotides) under uncultured bacterium. RNAcentral's name for it is "partial 16S ribosomal RNA". It matches the Rfam family "Bacterial small subunit ribosomal RNA", at positions 524 to 776 of the family's 1533-position model. The record is from RNAcentral.